CGGGUGGUAAUGCCGGAUGCUCCAGUUGAUCGCAUGGUCUUCUGGGAAAGCCUUUGCGGCAUGGGAUGGGGUCGCGUCCUAUCAGCUUGAUGGCGGGGUAACGGCCCACCAUGGCUUCGACGGGUAGCCGGCCUGAGAGGGCGACCGGCCACAUUGGGACUGAGAUACGGCCCAGACUCCUACGGGAGGCAGCAGUGGGGAAUAUUGCACAAUGGGCGCAAGCCUGAUGCAGCGACGCCGCGUGAGGGAUGGAGGCCUUCGGGUUGUAAACCUCUUUUGUUAGGGAGCAAGGCAUUUUGUGUUGAGUGUACCUUUCGAAUAAGCACCGGCUAACUACGUGCCAGCAGCCGCGGUAAUACGUAGGGUGCAAGCGUUAUCCGGAAUUAUUGGGCGUAAAGGGCUCGUAGGCGGUUCGUCGCGUCCGGUGUGAAAGUCCAUCGCUUAACGGUGGAUCCGCGCCGGGUACGGGCGGGCUUGAGUGCGGUAGGGGAGACUGGAAUUCCCGGUGUAACGGUGGAAUGUGUAGAUAUC
Molecule: ribosomal RNA, 531 nt
Filed under: Bifidobacterium breve
Lineage: Bacteria; Bacillati; Actinomycetota; Actinomycetes; Bifidobacteriales; Bifidobacteriaceae
Description: bacterial SSU rRNA
Rfam family: Bacterial small subunit ribosomal RNA
Source: RNAcentral